UAUCUCUGUAGAGUCUGCAUAUCAAUAAGCGGAGGAAAAGAAACUAACAAGGAUUCCCUUAGUAACGGCGAGUGAAGCGGGAAGAGCUCAAAUUUGAAAUCUUCAAGGUUUUACCUUGACGAAUUGUAGUUUAAAGAAGUGUUUUCUGUUGGUGUUUUGGUAAAAGUUCUUUGGAAUAGGACAUCAUAGAGGGUGAGAAUCCCGUAUUUGACCAUUAUUUCCAGCUUUGUGAUACACUUUCAAAGAGUCGGAUUGUUUGGGAAUGCAGUCCAAAAUGGGUGGUAAAUUUCAUCUAAAGCUAAAUAUUGGCGAGAGACCGAUAGCGAACAAGUACCGUGAGGGAAAGAUGAAAAGAACUUUGAAAAGAGAGUUAAACAGUACGUGAAGUUGUCAAAAGGGAAGCGUUUGACACCAGUGUUGUUUUCUCGAAAAUCAAUUAAAAAUGGCGGGAUUUUGUGUUGUAUUGACUUUAUCAGCUUUCUGCACUCUUUUCCUGUCUUUUUUAAUGCACUUUUCGUUUAACAAGUCAACAUCAAUUUCUUUUGUUGUAAAAGAGUCAUUGGAAGGUGGCUUUCUUUUCGGAGAAAGUGUUUAUAGCCUUUGGCUUCUGCAAUCGGAGAGAUUGAGGUCUGCAGCGUAGAUCCUUCGGGGUUAGAUACAUUUGUGCUAAGCUAUAGCCUUUCAUAGACAACUUGUUGACUAUGAUCAGUCAUGUAGCUUACUCGCUUAUGCUAUUUUACCUACGCUUAGGAUGUUGAGUCAUCACACAUCUCU
Molecule: ribosomal RNA, 774 nt
Filed under: uncultured Neocallimastigales
Lineage: Eukaryota; Fungi; Neocallimastigomycota; Neocallimastigomycetes; Neocallimastigales
Description: partial large subunit ribosomal RNA
Rfam family: Eukaryotic large subunit ribosomal RNA
Source: RNAcentral